Molecule: long non-coding RNA, 477 nt
Organism: Lycium barbarum (goji berry)
Lineage: Eukaryota; Viridiplantae; Streptophyta; Magnoliopsida; Solanales; Solanaceae
Exons: 2
Source: RefSeq, a predicted model, not a curated record
GAAAACUUGAAGAAAAAUAAGGCACCAUAUUCGGCCAAGGCUAGCAAAAUUUGAGUCAUGGAAAUUGAUGGAGAAAAAUUAUUUUCUUCUUGCAUUUCAAGCAAUUGGAAGGUCCUCUACAACAUGGAAGAGUUGUUGGAGCAAGGAAAUUAUUCAUUUGGACAAAUUCAUGACCUUAACCAAGAGGAAACUUGAAGGGAAAAAGGGUACACCCAGAUGAGUAGAAGUCAUUACAAAAGAUGUUCCAACGAAGUUGGUAGGCUCCAUUUGCUCCUGGAGUGCUGCUGAGUCAGAGUGUUUGUGCCGUAAUGUCUGAUUAAUGUUAGAGACUUUGCAGACAGCGUCGUGGGUAUUGGUUGUCAGUCUGUAAGCGGCUCCAUCAGCCGAUAUGUCAUUCUGUGUUAUGUAAUAAAUUUUAUAUAAUUACAGAUUUUGUUUAAUUUUGAGAACGAUAAAAGAAAGAUUUUGAAAACUUAA